AAUCAAGCAGUCUUGUUCCACGAUGAGCUCUGCUAAAUACGAAUGUUCAAUCCUUUUUUCGUCCUAUGAAAUAGAUGUCCUUGGGUGGGUUGAUGAUAGAUCAACUAAGUUUAUUCGUGGGCAGUAUGGGCCUGAGAAAUACUUGCCCAGAAGCUAUUUUUGGCCCUUUGUAUUUUUUUUGUAAAAAUCUUAAAACGCUGAAACAGCUCAAGUGUCGAACCCGAUUAGUAACCGGCGGUUCUAAUAGAGCUACAUAAGAAUGUGCCGUGUGAUGAUAAGGUUGUAGCUCACCAAAGAGAAGAGGUAUCUCUCCGUACAAAUCACAAGCAAAGACAAAUCAGACCCUACUGCCACCGGUUCAUCAAUUCAUCACACAAUCGCUCGAAACUCCAUCCACCAAUUACUUCCUCAGGCGCAUUGUCACGUGAAUAUCUCCCUCUUCAACUCCAUUUCUCACUUGCUUCUCGCUUAUUCGUUGGUUUGGUAAAUUGAAUGUGGUUUAACCACAUGAUCAUAUUAAUUUAUAUUAGUAUUGUAGUUCUAUGUCCAUAUAUAAUUCAAAUUUGGUAAAAUACACGUUAACAGAAAAUAAAACAUCUAUAAGUUUUUAAAUCACGAUUGGACUCAAUGUGGGUUGGUCAAGUUAGGUUGCUUACAAAAUUCUAUUAUAUUGCAAAAAGAAAGGGGUGUUGUGUAUAUAUUAAUUAUAUACUAGUUUUAAGGAACGCUUUGCAUGGGCAAACACAUAUAAAAUAGUAUAAUUCCGUAUAAGAAAUAUGUUACGAAUCCUAAAUUGUUUUAAAGUUGCAUGGAAGGGUUUAUAGUAUAUCAUCAAACUGACUUGUUCGUUGCAUAAAACAUAGGGUUAAUUAGGUGAAUAUACAAGCGGUUAAGUUUUGCUCAGAAAAAAAAAGUUUUUCUCAGAACUAUUUAAUACUCCUCAAAAACAUGUAGCAUAGGAAACUAACAGAAAAAGAUAGCAUUGGGCGUCAAAUUGUAUAUAUAGUUAUAUACACAACUCCUCAAAACAUGUACCAUAGAUAAGAUCAAAUAAAAGGAAAAUAAAAUCUGUAUAAUUAAUUUAGUAGGGCAGAGAGGAGAAACAUAAUUUAGGAAAAAGAAUGAGAUGCCACAAAAUAUUUGACAUCGUAAUUAUAAUAACAAUAAUGUGGGUAUGCAUGACUUCAAUUAUUGAAAGUAGCCUAAAAGCAUGACACCCCUGUCCAUUUUUUUGAGGAUAUCCGCGUCCCACGCGUGUGGGGACAUCCUCUUACUCUGUAUGCAUGGAAACUCCGCUCUCGGAUAAAACUUUGUAACUUCUAAAAAAACAAGAUAUAUAGCAGUAUAUGCGUACAAUGAAUAUCGUAACAAAAAAAAUGCGUUCAAGGAAUAUAGUAUGUUUCCUUUAACGCCAUCAAUCUUUUUUUUUCUGAAACUUAAUCGGUUAAUCAUGUAUUCAUGUUACAAAAUAGUGAAGGGAAACUUGUCGCUAUAAAGUGAUAGAUUUUAAGAAGUCAAAACUAGUUUAUGUAACAAUAAGCGGCAGAUAUUGCUCCUUGAAUUUUGUUAAGUACGUAAUAAAAUGUGGCAAAAUCAUGAAUGAAACUUUUUUUUUGUAGAAUGACAUCGUUAAAUCUUAUUUCGGUCAUGAAAUUUGCGAAAAGGUAAAAUCGUCGAGUAUUCGUUAUUCUACAUAAGAUUGUGAAAUUUAAAUUAAUUGUAUAUACGACUAUUCAAUGAAUUAUCAGUCGUCAGACCCUACAUUUUUUAGUAAUUUAUAACAACGUUCUAUUUUGAAACCAAUUAUCAUGUCCAUCACAUGUUACCAUUCAAAAACUUAAUAAUGAGGCUGUUUAAUGUUGAUUUUUUUUUUUUGAAAGCAACUUGCAAUAAGUUUAAGAGAAAUUAUAAAUACUGAAAAUUGUAUUCAUGAUGUUGGGUAAGAACACAUUAAUCAAGUUCUUCUAGGACCACUGGCCAUUGCCAUGGUGAUUAAAGCAUUGAGCCCAUAACAAUUUGGUCAAAACAUUUUUAAACAAAAAGGAAAAAAUAUUGGUUAAACUAAAAAGAAAUCAAUUUGAUUGAGUGUUUUCGUGACCGUUUGAUGGGUCAUCGUUUUCACGUUUUAAUUUGUCUCACCCUUGUCAUUAUGUGCAACCCUAAUCAUGAGUCUCUGAUGCUGAAUUCUAACGAAAAUCAAUCUGAUUUCGAUGCAGCAUUAAACGGUAAUUACUAUGUCAGCCGUCACUAUGUCCUUUUUUAACUUCCAAUUAUUUUUUCUUGUUUUUUCUUCAACAACUCUCAACUUUUCUUUUAAAUCUCUUAAAAGUUACUAAAACAUAAAGUCAAAAUCGCCAUCAUUAACGUAUGACCAAGAAUCACUCUGGCUGGUCAAUCUAAUUAUGGUUUUCAAUGAUUUUCAACAAACAGUCUAAUUCUUUCAAAGAAAUUCAUUAAUUCCUUAAUGGUUUAAUAUACUUAUAGUUCAAUGGAAUACUUGGGAUAAGGUAAGAAUACUAACAUGAAAUUCUUUCAAAAUAAUCCGAUGCUAUACGUUCGAUGACUGGAUAGUACUGAUGAACUACAUACGAGAGUCCGAUAUAUUCACAAUUGGUCGCAUAUUCAAAUGUGUAGUUGUAUUUAUCCAAAUUAUCUGUUAUAUAUAGGUGUGAAUGCUAUCUUUACAUUUGGAAAGUAUUCGAAUGAGUUUGCACUUUGCAUCUGCGAAUUUCGUGAUUUUUUUUUGUUUUCUAUUAGAGUAAAAGUUCAUACCAUUUUCUCAAGAUUCGACUUUCAUCUUGCAAAUACAAAGAUAAAGGAUUAACAUUCCCCUUAUUUUUAUAUAUAGAGAUAAUAUAAUGACAUAAACACAUAAGGCGCUAGACUCGUGUAAAAUAGGAAUAUAUUUAUAUGCAUUUUACGUGCGUAUGUGAAUCGGCAGUUGUCGGUCAGUCUAACUCCUAAACUCUAUAUCACAUUAUGUAUGUAGAUAUAUUUAUUCAGUAUAUUAGAUGGAGAUGAUUAUAUUCAAUUAAUGUUUGGCUAAAAAGUAAACCAUAAACUUGUUUUUAUGCGAGACGAUAUACUAUAUAACAUUAUUAUUAAUUAAUUAAGUAUACUGAGCCUCUGGAGAUAAAUAAGUGGGGCUUCACUUCAUGACCAUAAGGCCAAAACAGAUCUUCUUGUUUCUUUCUUUCUCUCUCAAAUUCUUAUUUCCUUCAUAAGAGAUGGAACCAGCUUUGUAUCUAGGUGACAAUACUAACAAGUUCUCUUUUCUGGAGAAGCCCUCGAAGAUUCCUAAUAAUCCCUCUGCCUCAUCGACCUCUACUUCCGACAAGAAUAUUGGGUUCAACAUGGGUUUGGAUGUACUUGGUUUUGGUAGUCAGAGAUCGUUGUCAUCCUCUUCUUCCCCGUCGGUAGAAGAUGAGAAGAAGUAUAAGAGUAAACUAACACAAAGAGCAAAUUAUUCUGAUGGAGUUAGGGUUUCAUCUUCCGUUGAUCCGUCACUACAGCUUCAGCUUCACUUACCUUGGAUCCCUGAGAACAGAGCACCUACGGUGGCAGAGCCUAGUAUGCCAGUGUCCCCUCCGGAUAGUGUAACGUCGUCGUUUCGAUUAGAUUUUGGGAUUAAGAGUUAUGGUUAUGAGAAAAGAAAUAAUAAAAGAGAUAUGGAAGAUGAGGUUGAAAAAUCUACUUCAAGAGCCAGCAACGAAGACAACGAUGACGAAAAUGGAGCCAUCAGAAAGAAACUGAGGCUCUCUAAAGAUCAAUCUGCAUUUCUUGAAGACAGCUUCAAAGAACACAACACCCUUAAUCCUAAGCAAAAGAUUGCGUUGGCAAAGCAGUUAAAUCUUCGUCCUCGUCAGGUUGAAGUUUGGUUUCAAAACAGACGAGCGAGGACAAAGUUGAAGCAAACGGAAGUGGAUUGUGAAUACCUAAAGAAAUGUUGUGAGUCACUAACCGACGAAAACCGGAGGCUUCAGAAAGAGGUUAAAGAAUUGAGAGCUUUGAAGACUUCUUCUCCUUUCUACAUGCAACGUCCGGCCACCACUCUCACUAUGUGCCCUUCUUGCGAACGUGUUGCCACCUCAUCAUCACAACCAUCCACGUCAGCAGCACAUAUAGACUUGUCCACGUCAUCAUUUCAUAGUCCUUUGAUUCCGGUUAAGCCUGGACCGGCCAAACAAGCUUCAUGAAAGCACGUAUGAAAUAAAUGGCUGAGUGGUUACAGUUUGAGCAAAUGGACCGUCUCCUAUUUUAAAAGACGACUAGCGAACGAUUAUCCGGUAAUAAGAAGUCACGUGGAGAACAACUGCACCAGGUUGGAUCCAAUCGCACUGAACUCAUAAAAGCACUUGUCGGAACUGUCGGUGGUCGACAAUCUCUCAAAUCCAUGCUUCCAUAUGCAAAGUCUUGCGUUUACAUUUACAUUAUUCCUAAAUCCAAAACUUUAUUUCAAUAACAAAAAAUAACAAUGUUCCACCUCAUAAUACAUGUAAUUAAAAAAGUCAAAAAUUAUUCUCAAUUUAGAUCAUCAAUCAAACAUAUGUUACAGCGAUUACUGGAAUCAAAAGAUCAAUAUGUAACUUCUCUCUUUGGAGCUAAGUAUAGUAACCGUGGUAACAAAAGGAUUUACAAUAAAUAGUAGCAAAGAUAUAAGAGAGUAAAUCAUACUUUUCAUCUUUUUUACUCUAAACAUUCUAUAAUCAACUAAAAACAAUCAAACAGAAGAAAGAAAAGUAUUGAGAGAUCAAACAAAUGUUCGAGAUG
Molecule: RNA transcript, 4770 nt
Organism: Brassica rapa (field mustard)
Lineage: Eukaryota; Viridiplantae; Streptophyta; Magnoliopsida; Brassicales; Brassicaceae
Gene name: homeobox-leucine zipper protein HAT14
Source: RefSeq, a predicted model, not a curated record